CAGAUAUGUUCUUGCUAAUUCUGAGGCCUCAACCUUAAGGGGAAAAGUGACAUCACUCGAGGAGAAGUUGAGAGAAUCUGAAUCCCAGUUAGAGCUGGCAAAGACCUCUGUUGAAGCAAGCCAGGAGCAACAGAACUUUCUGCAUUCUGAACUCGACGAGCUGAAAAAUGUAAUUCAGGAUCUUAGAGAAAAUGUUUUAGGAGCAGAAAGCAG
RNAcentral lists this unclassified non-coding RNA (213 nucleotides) under Hevea brasiliensis (rubber tree). The record is from RNAcentral. Lineage: Eukaryota; Viridiplantae; Streptophyta; Magnoliopsida; Malpighiales; Euphorbiaceae.